GCCCAUGUAGCCUAAGGGUAAGGCACAAUGAUUCAGGAUAUUGGGGGCAAUGUUCUGACGCGUUGAAGAUGGUGGUUCGACCCCACCUUUGGGCA
This 95-nucleotide transfer RNA is filed under the name Arsenicibacter rosenii. It matches the Rfam family "tRNA". From Rfam's summary of the family: Transfer RNA (tRNA) molecules are approximately 80 nucleotides in length. Their secondary structure includes four short double-helical elements and three loops (D, anti-codon, and T loops). The record is from Rfam by way of RNAcentral. Lineage: Bacteria; Pseudomonadati; Bacteroidota; Cytophagia; Cytophagales; Spirosomataceae.